GCGAAGGUGGCGAAAAUGGUAGACGCGCUAGCUUCAGGUGUUAGUGUCUGUAAAAGACGUGAGGGUUCAAAUCCCUCUCUUCGCACCA
RNAcentral lists this transfer RNA (88 nucleotides) under Candidatus Erwinia haradaeae. RNAcentral describes it as "transfer RNA Leucine". It matches the Rfam family "tRNA". From Rfam's summary of the family: Transfer RNA (tRNA) molecules are approximately 80 nucleotides in length. Lineage: Bacteria; Pseudomonadati; Pseudomonadota; Gammaproteobacteria; Enterobacterales; Erwiniaceae. The record is from RNAcentral.